RNAcentral lists this ribosomal RNA (496 nucleotides) under uncultured bacterium. RNAcentral describes it as "bacterial SSU rRNA". It matches the Rfam family "Bacterial small subunit ribosomal RNA", at positions 28 to 527 of the family's 1533-position model. The record is from RNAcentral.
GACGAACGCUGGCGGCGUGCUUAACACAUGCAAGUCGAACGGACGAGUGAGAUAAGUUUACUUAACUCACAAGUUAGUGGCGGACGGGUGAGUAACACGUGGAUAAUCUACCUGCAACACCGGGAUAACGCUGUGAAAACGGUGCUAAUACCGGAUACGUUCCCUUGUGCGCAUGUAUGAGGGAAGAAAGCUCAGGCGGUUGCAGAUGAGUCCGCGGCUGAUUAGCUAGUUGGUGAGGUAAAGGCUCACCAAGGCGAUGAUCAGUAGCCGGCCUGAGAGGAUGUACGGCCACACUGGGACUGAGAUACGGCCCAGACUCCUACGGGAGGCAGCAGUUGGGAAUCUUAGGCAAUGGACGAAAGUCUGACCUAGCGACGCCGCGUGAGGGAAAAGGCCUUCGGUGUAACCUCUGUCAUGGGAAGAAGUAAGUGACGGUACCCAACGACGGAAGACCCCGGCUACUAACGUGACCGAGCAGCCGACGAAGAGUAGUACA